UUUAUAGAGAGUUUGAUCCUGGCUCAGGACGAACGCUGGCGGCGUGCUUAACACAUGCAAGUCGAACGAGAAUCUACUGAAAGAGUUUUCGGACAAUGGAUGUAGAGGAAAGUGGCGGACGGGUGAGUAACGCGUGAGGAACCUGCCUUGAAGAGGGGGACAACAGUUGGAAACGACUGCUAAUACCGCAUGACGCAUAGAGGUCGCAUGAUCUUUAUGCCAAAGAUUUAUCGCUUCAAGAUGGCCUCGCGUCUGAUUAGCUGGUUGGCGGGGUAACGGCCCACCAAGGCGACGAUCAGUAGCCGGACUGAGAGGUUGAACGGCCACAUUGGGACUGAGACACGGCCCA
Molecule: ribosomal RNA, 349 nt
Filed under: Oscillibacter sp.
Lineage: Bacteria; Bacillati; Bacillota; Clostridia; Eubacteriales; Oscillospiraceae
Description: bacterial SSU rRNA
Rfam family: Bacterial small subunit ribosomal RNA
Source: RNAcentral